UUCCCCUAUUCUCUCUCUCGUUCCCUUCCCUGCCUCCAGUGUAACCCUAACUAACCCAGUAACAUUCUCGCGCAGCCGAGCCUCCUCUCUGUCUUUCUCAAACUCUCUGUCUCUCUUGGUUUUGAAUCCCAGGCGACCCGCGACGACGCGACCCUUCUCACUCUCAAUCUCUCACAGUGAAGCAGCUUUUGGUGGAGAAGCUGGCAGCGAGACGGAAACUGAAGUUCAAGAUAUACCUCCUCUGCAAAUUGUAAUGCUUAUCGUCGGCACACGAGGAGAUGUGCAGCCGUUUGUUGCCAUUGGAAAGCGAUUGCAGAGGCGAUGAGUGAAAAUAAAAUAUAGCUCUUCUUGGGAAGCUUAUCCCGGACUUUAUGUGAAUUGACGGAUAUGAAAAUAGUUCAAUUGGUGGAUAUGAAAAUAGUUCAAUUGGUGGAAGAUUGUUCAAGGACUCUCUAUUGACGAGUUCUCGAGGAAGAAGUUGGAUGCAACUGCAGAGGAGCUCAGUGAGGAGAAAGCUUUGGCAUACUCUUGCCUCUCUUAGAUGCUCUUGGCCUUUCCUUGGUGUGGUUGUAAGUUGGCCUCCCUGCAAUGUGUGAGAAAAGCAGCUGAAGUUUUGAAUAAUGCCAUUGUUAAGAUAGAUAUGUUAAUGAUGCAGAAGCUGCUUCUGUGGGUUUUACAGUUGUUGAGCCCAAUAUUCUAUUCGGACACUUCGACUUUUUUCUUCUUUUAGUUGCAUAUUUGAAUGGGAUUGUCCCAUUGACGUAAAAUAAUCCAUAUCUGCCUUGAUUCUAAUUUGUUAGUUCUUGUGCUUA
Molecule: long non-coding RNA, 812 nt
Organism: Malus domestica (apple)
Lineage: Eukaryota; Viridiplantae; Streptophyta; Magnoliopsida; Rosales; Rosaceae
Source: RefSeq, a predicted model, not a curated record